CCUACGGGUGGCAGCAGUGAGGAAUAUUGGUCAAUGGACGAGAGUCUGAACCAGCCAAGUCGCGUGAAGGAUGACUGCCCUAUGGGUUGUAAACUUCUUUUAUAUGGGAAUAAAAUGUUCCACGUGUGGGAUUUUGUAUGUACCAUAUGAAUAAGGAUCGGCUAACUCCGUGCCAGCAGCCGCGGUAAUACGGAGGAUCCGAGCGUUAUCCGGAUUUAUUGGGUUUAAAGGGAGCGUAGGGGGAUUGUUAAGUCAGUUGUGAAAGUUUGCGGCUCAACCGUAAAAGUGCAGUUGAAACUGGCAGUCUUGAGUACAGUAGAGGUGGGCGGAAGUCGUGGUGUAGCGGUGAAAUGCUUAGAUAUCACGAAGAACUCCGAUUGCGAAGGCAGCUCACUGGACUGCAACUGACACUGAGGCUCGAAAGUGUGGGUAGCAAACAGGAGUAGAUACCCCGGUAGUC
This 460-nucleotide ribosomal RNA is filed under the name uncultured bacterium. RNAcentral's name for it is "partial 16S ribosomal RNA". It matches the Rfam family "Bacterial small subunit ribosomal RNA", at positions 338 to 795 of the family's 1533-position model. The record is from RNAcentral.